AAAGGAAUUGACGGGGCCCCGCACAAGCAGCGGAGCGUGUGGUUUAAUUCGAUGUUACACGAAGAACCUUACCAGGGUUUGACAUGCAAGUGGUAGGAAACUGAAAAGGGACCGACCCUUCGGGGAGCUUGCACAGGUGCUGCAUGGCUGUCGUCAGCUCGUGUCGUGAGAUGUUCGGUUAAGUCCGCUAACGAGCGCAACCCUCGCUGUGUGUUACAAGUGUCACACGGUACUGCCGGUCUUAAGCCGGAGGAAGGUGGGGAUGACGUCAAGUCAGCAUGGCCUUUAUAUCCUGGGCUACACACACGCUACAAUGGCCAACACAAUAGGUUGCUAAAUCGCGAGAUGGAGCCAAUCCAAUAAAGUUGGUCUCAGUUCAGAUUGUAGGCUGCAACUCGCCUGCAUGAAGAUGGAGUUGCUAGUAAACGCAGGUCAGCUAUACUGCGUUGAAUACGUUCCCGGGGCUUGUACACACCGCCCGU
RNAcentral lists this ribosomal RNA (482 nucleotides) under uncultured bacterium. Its description in RNAcentral is "bacterial SSU rRNA". It matches the Rfam family "Bacterial small subunit ribosomal RNA", at positions 903 to 1397 of the family's 1533-position model. The record is from RNAcentral.